UACGUAGGGUGCAAGCGUUAAUCGGAAUUACUGGGCGUAAAGCGUGCGUAGGCGGCUAUGUAAGACAGAUGUGAAAUCCCUGGGCUUAACCUAGGAACUGCAUUUGUGACUGCAUUGCUAGAGUGUGGUAGAGGGAGAUGGAAUUCCGCAUGUAGCAGUGAAAUGCGUAGAUAUGCGGAGGAACACCAAUGGCGAAGGCAAUUUCCUGGACCUGCACUGACGCUCAUGCACGAAAGCGUGGGGAGCAAACAGG
This 253-nucleotide ribosomal RNA is filed under the name uncultured bacterium. RNAcentral's name for it is "partial 16S ribosomal RNA". It matches the Rfam family "Bacterial small subunit ribosomal RNA", at positions 524 to 776 of the family's 1533-position model. The record is from RNAcentral.